Molecule: long non-coding RNA, 718 nt
Organism: Cryptomeria japonica (Japanese cedar)
Lineage: Eukaryota; Viridiplantae; Streptophyta; Pinopsida; Cupressales; Cupressaceae
Exons: 3
Source: RefSeq, a predicted model, not a curated record
CAAGGUUCUGUCGCAGUUUAUGAUAGUUUACUUCCAGCCUGUGUUGCUCUGAUAAUGCUGUCACGAUACAUGAGGAUAGAACAAAAUGGAUUUGUUGAAAGGGUUUCAGAAACUUUCAAGCAAAUGCAAUUGGCAGGUGUAAAGUCACGGUCUGCAACCUUUGCCAGUAUCCUCCAUGCCUGUGCCAACACAAAAGAUUUCAAUCAGGGCAAAGCGCGUGAACUGUUUGACACAAUGCCUCAGAGAUGUCAUUCCAUGGAAUUAAAUGAUUGCAGGAUAUGCACAAAAUGGGUUUUGCAAGCAUGCUCUCAAAUUCUUUGAUUUAAUGAAAGCACUCCGGAACACAUUCCAACAUUGUUAAAGCAAAGAGGAAUUUUGUCAGAUGUUGUAGGUGCAACUAGCCUGCUAGUCAUGUAAACAAAACGUGGAAAAGAGAAAAGGAACAUGAACUGUUUGACAGAAUGCCUUCAAGAAUUGCUUGAUAAAAUGCCAUUAUCACAGGAUGUACAAAAUGGAUUUGUUGAGAGGGUUUCAGAAACUUGCAAUCAAAUGUCAAAGCGUUUUCUAUGUCAUUAGCUGUAUUUAUUAUAGGAGUUGAGCGACAAUUUGUAUCUGGUUUUGAUGGUGUGUAAUGGUCUUUAUGAUUCGUAUUUGGUUUGGUUUGGUUUGGUUUGUUUAAAUUGUAGGGACUUGAAUCUGAUUUUUAUGAUUGGUAUGU